RNAcentral lists this ribosomal RNA (433 nucleotides) under uncultured bacterium. RNAcentral's name for it is "bacterial SSU rRNA". It matches the Rfam family "Bacterial small subunit ribosomal RNA", at positions 355 to 796 of the family's 1533-position model. The record is from RNAcentral.
UCGAGGAUCUUCGGCAAUGGGCGCAAGCCUGACCGAGCGACGCCGCGUGUGCGAUGAAGGCCUUCGGGUUGUAAAGCACUGUCGAGGGGGAGAAAGGCCGCAAGGCGUGAUCGACCCCUGGAGGAAGCACGGGCUAAGUUCGUGCCAGCAGCCGCGGUAAGACGAACCGUGCGAACGUUGUUCGGAAUCACUGGGCUUAAAGGGCGCGUAGGCGGGCGGUCAAGUCAGAGGUGAAAUCCCACGGCUCAACCGUGGAAGCGCCCCUGAUACUGAUCGUCUCGAGGGAGGUAGGGGCGUGCGGAACUUCCGGUGGAGCGGUGAAAUGCGUAGAUAUCGGAAGGAACACCGGUGGCGAAAGCGGCGCGCUGGACCUCUACUGACGCUGAGGCGCGAAAGCCAGGGGAGCAAACGGGAUUAGAUACCCCGGUAGUCC